Molecule: microRNA, 17 nt
Filed under: Bos taurus (domestic cattle)
Lineage: Eukaryota; Metazoa; Chordata; Mammalia; Artiodactyla; Bovidae
Description: bta-miR-8549
Source: miRBase by way of RNAcentral
GAGGUAGUAGGUGGUAU